AUGUGUCUUCCAAAAGACAAGGGAGACAUGGGGUUUAGGGAUAUCCAUGCAUUUAAUUUAGCCAUGUUAGCCAAGCAAAGCUAGAGAAUGAUAACUUAUGCUGAUACUCUUUGUGCUACGGUCUUAUGAGCGAAGUACUUUUCUGAUGGAAACAUUCUGAAGGCAUGGCUAAAAAAGGGAUCAUUGUUUAUUUGGUAGAGUAUCUUCGAUGGUCUUCAAACGUUCAGGAGUGGGCAUAUUUGGUGA
This 246-nucleotide ribosomal RNA is filed under the name Triticum aestivum (bread wheat). RNAcentral's name for it is "partial small subunit ribosomal RNA". The record is from RNAcentral. Lineage: Eukaryota; Viridiplantae; Streptophyta; Magnoliopsida; Poales; Poaceae.